UAGCCAAAUUGGUGGGGCAUCUCGCCAC
Molecule: unclassified non-coding RNA, 28 nt
Filed under: Mus musculus (house mouse)
Lineage: Eukaryota; Metazoa; Chordata; Mammalia; Rodentia; Muridae
Description: oocyte_clustered_small_RNA5635
Source: RNAcentral